UCUCCGUUGGUGAACCAGCGGAGGGAUCAUUACCGAGUUUACAACUCCCAAACCCAAUGUGAACGUUACCAAACUGUUGCCUCGGCGGGAUCUCUGCCCCGGGUGCGUCGCAGCCCCGGACCAAGGCGCCCGCCGGAGGACCAACCAAAACUCUUUUGUAUACCCCCUCGCGGGUUUUUUUAUAUCUGAGCCAUCUCGGCGCCUCUCGUAGGCGUUUCGAAAAUGAAUCAAAACUUUCAACAACGGAUCUCUUGGUUCUGGCAUCGAUGAAGAACGCAGCGAAAUGCGAUAAGUAAUGUGAAUUGCAGAAUUCAGUGAAUCAUCGAAUCUUUGAACGCACAUUGCGCCCGCCAGUAUUCUGGCGGGCAUGCCUGUCCGAGCGUCAUUUCAACCCUCGAACCCCUCCGGGGGGUCGGCGUUGGGGAUCGGCCCUUUACGGGGCCGGCCCCGAAAUACAGUGGCGGUCUCGCCGCAGCCUCUCCUGCGCAGUAGUUUGCACACUCGCAUCGGGAGCGCGGCGCGUCCAUUGCCGUAAAACACCCAACUUUCUGAAAUGUUGACCUCGGAUCAGGUAGGAAUACCCGCUGAACUUAA
RNAcentral lists this ribosomal RNA (594 nucleotides) under Trichoderma spirale. Its description in RNAcentral is "eukaryotic LSU rRNA". The stretch from base 232 to 385 matches the Rfam family "5.8S ribosomal RNA". Lineage: Eukaryota; Fungi; Ascomycota; Sordariomycetes; Hypocreales; Hypocreaceae. The record is from RNAcentral.